Molecule: ribosomal RNA, 496 nt
Filed under: uncultured bacterium
Lineage: Bacteria
Description: partial 16S ribosomal RNA
Rfam family: Bacterial small subunit ribosomal RNA
Source: RNAcentral
AUGCACGCUGGCGGCGUGCCUCAUCCAUGCAAGUCGCGCGAACGGACGAGAAGCUUGCUUCUCUGAUGUUAGCGGCGGACGGGUGAGUAACACGUGGAUAACCUACCUAUAAGACUGGGAUAACUUCGGGAAACCGGAGCUAAUACCGGAUGAUAUUUUGAACCGCAUGGUUCAAAAGUGAAAGACGGUCUUGCUGUCACUUAUAGAUGGAUCCGCGCUGCAUUAGCUAGUUGGUAAGGUAACGGCUUACCAAGGCAACGAUGCAUAGCCGACCUGAGAGGGUGAUCGGCCACACUGGAACUGAGACACGGUCCAGACUCCUACGGGAGGCAGCAGUAGGGAAUCUUCCGCAAUGGGCGAAAGCCUGACGGAGCAACGCCGCGUGAGUGAUGAAGGUCUUCGGAUCGUAAAACUCUGUUAUUAGGGAAGAACAUAUGUGUAAGUAACUGUGCACAUCUUGACGGUACCUAAUCAGAAAGCCACGGCUAACUACGUG